ACUUUACAAUGCAGGCAACUGUGAUAAGGGAACCCCGAGUGCCCGUAUGGACGGGCUGUUCAGGUGCUUAAAAACCACCUGGAGAAAGGGCCGGGCAAGACCGGUGCCAGCCGCCGCGGUAAUACCGGCGGCUCGAGUGGUGGCCACUAUUACUGGGCUUAAAGCGUCCGUAGCUUGGUCGUUAAGCCUCUGGGGAAAUCUUCCGGCUCAACCGGAAGGCGUCGCAGGGGAACUGGCGGCCUAGGGAUCGGGAGAGGUGAGAGGUACUCUGGGGGUAGGAGUGAAAUCCUGUAAUCCUCAGGGGACCACCUGUGGCGAAGGCGUCUCACCAGAACGACUCCGACAGUGAGGGACGAAAGCUGGGGGAGCAAACCGG
Molecule: ribosomal RNA, 376 nt
Filed under: uncultured archaeon
Lineage: Archaea
Description: bacterial SSU rRNA
Rfam family: Archaeal small subunit ribosomal RNA
Source: RNAcentral